Molecule: non-coding RNA, 612 nt
Organism: Pelobates cultripes (western spadefoot toad)
Lineage: Eukaryota; Metazoa; Chordata; Amphibia; Anura; Pelobatidae
Source: the annotation of a GenBank genome assembly
GGUGUGUAUAGUAUUUACCAUACUAGAAGAAAUUUAGUCUGCAGUGUCUAGACACAGGUUAAUCAAGCUGUACUUUGUUUACUACUUGGUCCACUAGAAAAAUGUGCUCCAGUGUUAAAUAGAUGUUAAACACCCUGCUUGCGUUUAUAUCAAAACAUAGAAUGCAAGGCAGAACGCACUUCAGUUGCUCCAGGUUAUCAGCUUAGUUUGAGCAAAGUUAAAAUAGACAUUCUGGGCACCAAUACAACAUGCAUUUGUUUGGUUCUUGGCCUCAUUAGUGUGUCAUAUUUUUUUGCAUGCUCAAAUCUAGUUUUAUUUGUGCAAUGAACAUUCAGAAUGCUGUACCAUAAGCCUUCUUCCUCUUACACCUGCAUUCAAAAAGAGGAGACCUAGUAAGUCUACAACUACCUGUUUAUAUUGUCUACAGCCAGGCUGAGAGUUAAAAGCAUGUCAGUUCUGUUGGAUCCAAGUCUGAACAUUUGACAGGAAAUUCCUUCUGGCACAAAUUGGCAUUGAUAUGAAGGCAGGCUUAUAUAUUUUUGAGCAUGCAAAAGAUACACCACGUUGAGGCCAAAAUCUAUCAGAUACACCAAAGUUGUAUGGUGUUCCUUU